Molecule: long non-coding RNA, 4965 nt
Organism: Gallus gallus (chicken)
Lineage: Eukaryota; Metazoa; Chordata; Aves; Galliformes; Phasianidae
Source: Ensembl
UUUUUUUUUAGUGAUGACAUCUGAUAUUUUUUCAUAAAGGAGAAUUAGGACAAGUAUGCUUACUCUAUGAAGCCAAGAACAUGGCUAAUACUUAGAACACACCUAAUACCAAGUUUAACUCAUGGUAGAUAUCACACGGGUUAUAUUUUUUCCUUUUGGCUUAAGUACAAUCUUAAUAUAAAUAUAUAACCUCAGUAUACAAGUGUAAGUCAUUUGUUACUGCAAAUGAAGGCUGCUAAAAGAAGAACUCAUUAGGAAGAGUCAAGGGCAGACAAGGGAGAACAUACACAUGUAUAUUUCAUUAAGCCAAUAAGAAUGAUAUAUAAAACAAUGUAAUGUCAAAAGCAAUUUACUGCUACUCGGGGUUGAAAUCUACUAAAAAUUUUAUGAGCAUCGAUCAGGAUUAUUUUGUGGGACCAGAUAUCUAUAGACUUGUUAGAAUUGAUUUAUCUUCCUCUCUAUAUUUUGAUAGACUGCUGUGUAACCCCCUUAAAGUGCCAUUGGAUAUUGCUCAAUAAGAGAAGUUUGCUUUUCUAUCCACCCUCACUUUCUUUUAGACUGAGUCAUUGAUUACUUAGGGGACAUCAGCACCUGGUGAAAAGAUGGGGCACUUUUCAUUUGCCUGCUGGAAAGUCACUGUGCUCUCAGCAGUAUUCUAGGAUUUAUGACUUCAACCUACAGACCAUAACAAGAAGCAGAUUCUUUUUGGUUUAUGUGUGUGUGUAAAAUAUCACAUAUUGUAACAAGCAGCAUGCAGUAAAGCACAAACAAGACUGUGAGUCACUGCUGUUUGUAGCCAGCAGAUUUCAGAGCAAUAUGGCUUAAAAAUGAAUAGCCAUUAUUUCUCCCUGCCACAACGUCUUCUUAGAAGUUUGCAGGCAUUAGAGAGGGAAGGAGUGAAUCACUGAUGUAAGAUUUUAUUAUUGAGCAAUGUAAACAUUAUGUUAGAAUCAUGAUAGGUUUGCUUCUUAGUUUGUUAAUAAUAAUAAACUACUAAAAAGUGCUUCUCACUCUAUUUCCUUGUUUCCGUUUUUCCAUCCUUGUCAUAGUAUUUGCAUAGACUUCAAGUUCUUUAAGUGUAUAAAUACAGAAUCACUAAUCAUUUAGGUUUCUGAAAUACAACUCAGUGGCACAGAUCACUGUGCAGCAAAACAGCGUGACAGAAAAAAUCUGUCUUGGUUAAGAGAAACACAGAAUCCACAGGUGACAUGUGUGAUUAUGAUUCAUGAUCUGCAUAUUGUAGCACUGGGAAACAGAGUUCUGGUUUAUCUGCCUAGCUUGGUCAGUGAGUGAUUCAUUCCACAUCUCUGGAAGGACCUCGUGCUCCUGCCCCCAGAUUUCAGUUCCUUGUAUUCUUCAGAUGUAAGACAUUAUACUAGAUGGCUGAUUUAUGUAUAUUAGCUUUUAUCACUGAGUUAAGUAUUAAUUACCAGGCAGCUGCUGAUGCUGCUCUGGUUUCAAAUGCUGCUGCCUUUUGCCACUCACUCUCAGUCAUACAGUUCUGUAGGAAAGAACUCACUAAUCUCAAUAGUUGGUGCACAAAUUUGCUCUGGAAUAGAGGCAAUAGACUUCACCUGCACAGUUAGCUGGGAGACUUAAUUCAGCUAAUGAUUGUGAUAAAAAAACAUAAGAUGAAAAUUAUGACUAGGUGUUGAUGGUUUACAGGCUGGUUCGGCCUGGUUCCAUGACUGGUGGGGCAGAGGAAUCUGCAGAUCUGCACCUCCAGAAAGGGAAAACAGGGGACCCCAAGUAGUUAAAAGCAGUGGCAGCGAUCUGAGGAGAAACAAACUGAUUUACUAAAAAUGGUAUCGGAAUGCAAGAUAACACACUAUAAUACAGUAUAAUUAGAAUUGAAGCUAAUAAAUCAAAUAUAAUGAGAGAAAGAAUGUCGGAAAAAGCUGAAGGCGUUACACUGGCAGCAUGCAGUCGGGACGAGCAGCAGCGAGAGAGCCUGGCAAUCAAAAAGAGGGCCAUCAAGUGACCUGCCGAGGCCUUAUAUGUGUUCCCCCUGAGCAGGAAUGAUAAUAGAACAGUGAACAGUCUUCUGGGGAAUGUAGUUCUCCUUCUCUUCCAGACAGGUGCCUGGAACUGGAGCCUUAACUCUUUAACUCCCCGUGCACUACAUGAUGUUAUGAUGUGGAAUACCAAUAGCCAAAAAUCAUAAAACCAUGACAUUCCACCCCUCAUUCUACAUCACUACAUCAUGCUUAAUAUAUACAAACAAACCACAAUUACCAAACAUUAAACACAUGCACACACAUUUAUAUAUAUACAUGGAAUUACUGACUGCACUCCUCCAACAUCAAAUUCCCUUGUGGUACACAUUGAACGUCCCUGUUUUUCUGCAUCACCCACCAAGUGCACCCCGGUCCCUGGGCAAAAAACAGUUCCAUGAAGAGGUUUGCCCUUCCCAGAAGCUGGAAAGACCCAAACUGCUUUUCUCAACAUGUUCUUUACGUGUAUUACAGGGACCUCAUCUCCCUUGACAGUAUGUAGGGAGCUGGCAGGACCAUUUUGAUUUGCCAAUCCUCUAGUUUUGACUAACCAGAUGGCUUCUGCCAAUUGCUUAUCCCAAUGCUUAAAUGUUCCACCCCGCAUUGCUUUCAACAUGUUUUUUAAGAACCCAUUGUAUCAUUCAAUUUUACCAGAAGCUGGUGGGGAUAUGAUAAAUCCACUCAAUGCCAUGAUCUUUGGCCCAAGUAUUUACAAGAGAAUUUUUGAAAUGAGUCCCAUUAUUUGACUCAGUUCUUUCUGGAAUGCGAUGUCACCACAGGACUUGUUUCUCCAGACCCAAUAUAGUGUUUCAGGUGGUAGCAUGGGGUACUGCAUGUGUUUCAAGCCACCCAGUGGUUGCCUCCACCAUGGUAAGCGCAUAAUGUUUACCACUGCAAGAUCGUGGCAAGGUGAUAUAAUCAGCCUUCCACGCCUCCCCAUAUUUAUGCUUUUGCCCUUCCCCCCAGAGAGGUUUCAUCCUCCUGGCUUGUUUAAUUGUGGUGCAUGUGUCACAGUCAUGAAUAACCUGUGCAAUAGCGUCCAUAGUUAAGCCCACCCCUUGGUCUCCAGCCCAUUUGUGUAUUGCAUCUUUUCCUUGGUGGCCUGAGGUCUCAUGGGCCCACCAAGCUAGAAGUAACUCACCCUUGCGUUGCCAGUUCAGAUCUGUUUGAGCCACCUUAAUUCUGGCAGCUUGAUCUACCUGAUGGUUAUUUUGUUGUUCUGCAGUAGCCCAACUCUUGGGCACAUGAGCAUCUACAUGGCACACUUUUACAACCAUAUUCUUUAUACGGGCAGCAAUGUCUUUCCACAGUUCAGCAGCCCAAAUAAGUCUACCCCUUCAUUGCCAGUUGUUGUGUUCCCACUUUCAACUGCACCACACAGCUUGGCGUCAUCUGCAAAUUUGCUUAGGGUGCAUGUGAUCUCACUGUCAGUGACACUGAUGAAGAUAUUAAAAAAGAUAUUAAUAAAGAUCACGCACUCAUUGACAGGAGGAUAAAAGACAAACAAACAAACAACAUAGUGAAUCAUUAUAGUUUGCAAAAGAAAAAUGAAUCAAGACAAUACUGCCCAGAGGAAUUUAGAAAAAAAAAAAAAAAACAAUAGGAGAAAGUCAUGAGAAGGAAUCAGGUCACCUCCUACCUCUUUAGCAAACAAGUGGCAAAUAGCCAGUUGCAACAAUUAAGUUACUUGACCUAGUCUCAGACUUGUUCAGAAUAGACAGUCUUUUCAGUGUUCUGCUAAACCUAAGACAAGAAUAUCUAAACUCUAAAUGUGACAAAAACACAAAGGUAAGAAAACUUAUUUAAAAUCAGCCCAAACUGGAUUGCCUUCUGUAGAAUAUACAACAGGUGCAAGCACAAGGAGGCAGGAAGGAGGCAUUUUCACUCAUCUGGUAUCUGGUGCCUGCACUGCAUCGUCUUUCUUUGUUCUUUUAAUAACAGAGCCAUCAGUGACUCAGGAGCAGUUGCCUAGGGGACUUCCAUUGUGCUAAACAUUCAGGAGAUACUCAGUUUCCUCCCCAUCUGUUUUGUGUCACAGUAAACCCCCCCCAUGUUCAGGAAUACUGACAUCUCCCUCUUAGAGAGCAAAUAUUCAGUUCUCAAAAAAAUUGCAUGUACUGUUCUGUAGAGAAGGCAGGAUCAUAUGAGAGCAGACAGAACGCUAGUUUGCACUGUAGAAUAGACUCCUUUGCCUUGAACUCUAAAAUUAACUUAUCAAACCAUCACUACGGCAAGUGUCUGCAGAGUUUCUGUCAUAAUGCCAGGAUUAAUAUUGAACUGGACCUCACCAAUGACUUAUAAAUCCUCUUUGCAUAGCACCUUAAAUACAGAUGCUAUUUUAGAGGAGGAUAAUACUAGGAAAAGCCUUAUCCAGUUAAUUCCAUGCAAAAGGAAGCCUUAUAAUGGAACUUAGUCACUUCCUGUACCCUGCUUGGGCUCAUAUUAUGUACUAGUGCCAUCCAGUGUUAGACACAAGGUCAUUUACAUAAAAAAAAAUAAUAAGAUAAUAAUCCCUGAUUCUUGUAUACUUCACUUCCCCGGUUACUUUUCCAAGUUCACAGUAUGUACACUGAAUAUCAACCCAAUUACUGCUUUAAAAGUCUGUUAGAAACACUCCAUUUUAAGUUCAAUCACAGAUUUCAAACACUAAACAUUGAAAAUGAGGAGGAUCACAGUGAUCUGACAAAUUCUGUGCCCCCACAGAAUAAAAGACUUUUGAAUCCUGUUUAUCUUAGUGGCAGUUCAGAUCCAUUCCAAACAACUUGUUCCCUGUUCAUUCCUUGCCUGGAAGGAAGGUCUGUAUAAUCUGUAGGACGUGACUGUCUCAGUCCUAAAAGACUGAGAACAUAUCCUGUAACCACUCCCUUUCAUAGGAACUUCCAGUGCGUGAUGGAUAAUAUUUUAUUGAGAGAAUUUAAAAAAAAAAAAAAAAAAUCACUCUUUUUUUUCUUUUUUUUUUCUUUUUUUUUCC